Long non-coding RNA from Etheostoma cragini (Arkansas darter), 136 nucleotides. RefSeq lists it as uncharacterized. Lineage: Eukaryota; Metazoa; Chordata; Actinopteri; Perciformes; Percidae. The record is from RefSeq and is a predicted model, not a curated record. The transcript has 3 exons.
AGAAGACAUGGAGAAGGACUUUCGGUCAGAGCCAAGGUGCUUCUGGAAAACCGUUCGCCACCUCAGGAGAUGGAAGCGAGGAGCCAUCUAAGCUGUGUACAUUAAGGAUGGGACGCUGUUGAUCUAAACUGAGGAG